AGAAUCAACGCUGGCGGCGUGCCUAACACAUGCAAGUCGAACGAGAAAGUGGAGCAAUCCAUGAGUAAAGUGGCGCACGGGUGAGUAACACGUGACUAACCUACCCUUGAGUGGGGGAUAACCUAGGGAAACCUGGGCUAAUACCGCAUAAUACCUUCGGGUCAAAGGAGCAAUUCGCUUAAGGAGGGGGUCGCGGCCGAUUAGUUAGUUGGCGGGGUAAUAGCCCACCAAGACUGUGAUCGGUAUCCGGCCUGAGAGGGCGCACGGACACACUGGAACUGAAACACGGUCCAGACUCCUACGGGAGGCAGCAGUGGGGAAUUUUGCGCAAUGGGGGAAACCCUGACGCAGCAACGCCGCGUGGAGGAUGAAGCCCCUUGGGGCGUAAACUCCUUUCGAUCGGGACGAUUAUGACGGUACCGGAAGAAGAAGCCCCGGCUAACUUCGCGCCAGCAGCCGC
This 460-nucleotide ribosomal RNA is filed under the name uncultured bacterium. RNAcentral describes it as "SSU rRNA". It matches the Rfam family "Bacterial small subunit ribosomal RNA", at positions 26 to 518 of the family's 1533-position model. The record is from RNAcentral.